RNAcentral lists this non-coding RNA (26 nucleotides) under Rattus norvegicus (Norway rat). Lineage: Eukaryota; Metazoa; Chordata; Mammalia; Rodentia; Muridae. The record is from RNAcentral.
UUGGUGGUGUCAGACUUCCUUGGCUG